This 73-nucleotide transfer RNA is filed under the name Leucocryptos marina. Its description in RNAcentral is "tRNA-Tyr". It matches the Rfam family "tRNA". Rfam says of the family: Transfer RNA (tRNA) molecules are approximately 80 nucleotides in length. Their secondary structure includes four short double-helical elements and three loops (D, anti-codon, and T loops). Further hydrogen bonds mediate the characteristic L-shaped molecular structure. tRNAs have two regions of fundamental functional importance: the anti-codon, which is responsible for specific mRNA codon recognition, and the 3' end, to which the tRNAs corresponding amino acid is attached (by aminoacyl-tRNA synthetases). tRNAs cope with the degeneracy of the genetic code in two manners: having more than one tRNA (with a specific anti-codon) for a particular amino acid; and 'wobble' base-pairing, i.e. permitting non-standard base-pairing at the 3rd anti-codon position. The record is from RNAcentral. Lineage: Eukaryota; Cryptophyceae; Kathablepharidacea; Katablepharidaceae.
AAAGUAGUAGCUUAAUUUGACAGAGCGUAGUCUAGUAAAGACUAUAAUGUGAGUUCAAUUCUUACCUACUUUU